AUUAAAAGAAAAAGGGGUGAAAAGAACAAAGUUUUAUCCAUCUUUGUUCAUCAUAGCUGAAAGUUAGAGAAGAGAAAGGAAAGGAGAAAGCUCUUGAGUAUUCGGUCAUUAGGAGGAGGAAAAUUGAAGGCGGUUCGUGUGUGGAUCUCGUCAGCAUAUCGUCGCAAACAAGUGUGUAACUGACACCCUCUUAUAGACUAGAUUGGCAAAAGCCGAAAUGCCGAAAAGUCAGUAUUUUGGGAAUUUGCGAGUGUGCGAAUGCUCGAAAGAUAGUUGGGUUUGUAUAUUUGGUAAUCUAAAGUAAUAAACUGCAGUACGCGCGAUUUCGUACAUUUUGAUAAUUUGGGCUUAAUGGGCCAAAGAUCGGGUUCAUGGGCCAACGGGCCCAAUUCAGUAA
Long non-coding RNA from Gossypium arboreum, 397 nucleotides. RefSeq lists it as uncharacterized. NCBI's taxonomy places the organism in Eukaryota, Viridiplantae, Streptophyta, Magnoliopsida, Malvales, Malvaceae. The record is from RefSeq and is a predicted model, not a curated record. The transcript is spliced from 2 exons.